GAAAAACUCUGCAACUUCCAGCCAGGCGCGCAGUCUUUUGCCUAGAGAUCCUGGGCACCAGCAGCCCCCUAUCAGACGGACCGGAGAGGGAUCAGCCAGCCCGAUUCUUUUUCUCUCUCUUUCUUCGAGGAGAAAAAGAAGUAAUCAUGAACUCAGUCGAUUUGGGGGUGGCUGCCUUGCAAAAGGGCUUUGCAGAAGCUUCCGGGCAACGGAUGGAGAGGGAACCAAGCAGCCAACAUGUCUUAAAGCAAGACUUGUCCAGCGCGGGGUUCCCUCCUUGGGGCGUCCAGGUUCCCUUGGGGCACCUGCUGCUCUUACUGUCUGCACCAGCAAAAGCUGGGAAUUGGGGUGGGGUGGGGGACCUUAACUUCCAGCCACUUCUGCGGCGAGUCCUCCCCGAUUUCGUCUCUCUUUUGCCUUCCGGAAUGAACCCCUUUCUUUCAAACUUGCCCCAGAGGGCGAAACAACCGAGAUCAAGCUCGCUGCGUAGUUUUGGAGGGUAAGUGUCUGUGAAGAGCGGGGGCGGGGGGGGGGGGAGGCGGCGUGGAGAACGCAGCAACCUCGGAGGGCAGAGCAGGUGGUAGAAAAGCCGCAAAGGCUGGCGGUGGGUGGGGGGUGGCGAGAAAGAGACAAAGAGAAAGAAAAAGUGUGGCAGCUUCUGCCAAAGCAACGCGUGCGUUCUUUUGCAUCGAGGCAGCCUGGAGUGGAAAGGGUUACAGAGGCAUUUGGGGCAGGUGCGGGUGGUGGUGGGGAGAGAGAUCCUGUCCGACUGCUGGGAUUCCACCUUCCGUAACCGGGGAGCGCGCGUGCUUAAGAGUCGAGUUGCGCGUGAACUCCUGGUGGCCAGCUGCGAAGCGCCGGCUGCCCGCAACGAUUCCUUAAGAGUCCGGCGCAACUUCCUUCGAGGGGACUGGCUCUCUCCUAGGCAGCGUGCUUCGGCGCUAGCAAGCCGAAGGGAUCCGGGAUCGGAGCUAGGAGGAGCGAGCACGCCCGAUCCGGCUUUCCUGCUCACUGCCCCCCUUCCUCCGGCUGGAAGGAUCAUCUGGUCCCUCUCCGCCCCCUGGCGUGAAUUUCAUCCGCUAGGACUCGCGCUCCGCGCACCCCACGCCGCUUCCCAAAGCAAAGCGCCCCCCCUGCAGGCGACUCGGGCCCCUUGCAGCCCUGUGAGGCUCAGGCUAAUAACUCCUCCUCUUCCUCGCUCUCUGCAAGUCCUCCUCACCUACACUGAGGUUCAUUUAGAAACAUUUCGCGCUGCACCCCGCCUCUAAUAUAUAUGUAUAUUUUAAUAUAUUUAGAAGGACUUCCCUAUUGCUGUUACGCAGCGUCCCUUAAUUUCCAACACCCCCUUCCAUGAUCAGUUGGCCACUUUCUGAAUUUCGCACCUCUACUUACUAGUUUCCCGAAAAAAGCCAAAAUAAUAAUAAUAAUGGUGGUCCGGAGGGGGGUGGGGAGCAGAUCCCAUAACCAAGCAACCCUCUUUCGACGUGGGGCUGCGCGGAUGGGCUUGUGAUUUGUAGGAUUGCUCUACUUAGACCCUGCCUCCUCCUUGCUCUCCAGCCACUCUAAAGUCUCUCCCCCUUUUUAAGCAGCGAUUCCUUUCCAUCCGCGGCGGUGUGUGUUACGCGCGCGUGUGUCUUGCUUUCUCCCUCCCGAUCUCCCUGGAGAGAGAGAGAGAGAGCGAGAGAGAGAGCGAGGGGGGAAGGAAACUCUACUCCCAAGCCCCGUCCAGAUGUCGAAGAAACGCAAAACCCCCGAGGGUGGAGGAUCCGGCCUCCCCGAGGAGGAACCCAAAACCCAGUUGGGGGACAGCGAAGAGCAAGGUAGGAGGGGGGCGGAAAGCUGGUUCGCCUGCUAGGGGAAAAAAUUAAGAGUGGGAUCCCAGCAUAGGAAUGCAUCUUUGAGCCGAUCAGAUCCCCCACCAGCUGCUUGAGUUGGGCUGGCGACUGUCAAAUUUAGGCCAGAUUCCCUCUAGUCCAGGCUCUGUGAUUGUAUAUAUACUUCUAUUGUGUGUCUCGGGGUACUGUUGAACUUUUGGGAGUGAAGGGUGAAAAGGCAGGAGAGGAAACAAAAGGGAUGAUUGAUUGAUUGAUUGAUUGAUUGGCUGAUAAAGUGAUGGGAGGAGGGGCUGCAGGGUGGCUGAUCAAUCGUUCUUCCCUCCCCAGCCCUUUAAUUUCAGUUGCAUAUGGUGUGCUCCUUUCAGUCUGUCUCUGGAGCAUUGGGAAAAUAUUAUAUGGAGACCAGUAUGUUUGGCGGUGUUGUGGGAGUGGGGGUAGCUGGUGAGUGAGAGUGCAUUUCUCUGUGGGAAAGACUGGUGGAGGGUCUCCUUACUUCCUCCUUUGGCAAAUCCUCCAUCUCUGCCAAGGUGCUAGUUGCAAGAUGCCGAUUGCUGCAAAUAUUGUACUUGCAUUGCACUUGAGAGAAAGUUGUGGGUUUUUUCUUUGCUGCAUCCCCCCCCCUUGUGUGUGGGGAGCUGCCAUGCACUUUAGCAGCUGGUGUGGGAAAGCAGAUCAGCCCUGCCCUCCUUUGAUCUCUUAGGCACUUUUGCAGUUGUUUGUUCUUUCAGUUCACCUGCUCGUUUUCUUUCUCUUUUGGUGCUUAUUCUGCUUUUCUGGGGCCUAGGUUUCACUCCAAGCCAAGGCACAGUCUUGAAGGGCUGGUCAUUACAAUGCAGAGGAGGGAUUGGGGUGUGUUGGGGGGUCAGUGGUCCAAGCGAUGAUUGUGAAGAGCAAGCUGGAGAUUGUGUGUCCCCCGUGGACUGUAAAUGUGUUUCUGCCCAUGGCAGAAUUGAGACGGUGCAUUUGCCUUGUUGGCAGGUGAAAAACCUGAGACUGGAGCCGAAAGAGAGGGAAUGCAUGUCAUCCAAUAUGGAGUCAGUUGUCCUUGUUCUCAAAAUGUUGAGGAUCAAAAUGCCGUCAAAGCCGAUCAAGACUUGGGAGAUUCAGUCUCCACCAUGGAUGUGUUUCUGGGGGGUGAUAUGAUGUGGGUUUUCGUCUGUCUUCAUUGCAUCAAGCCCAGUUUUUGGUGUGCUCUGCAAACAUUUUCACAAUGACGCAGUCAUGGCGUUCCACCAUUUGCUUUGAAGGGGCUUCUGGAAGGUUUUCGUUCUUUGUAUUAGAGUCCUUCAGCAUCAAAAUUAAUGAAAGCCAUCCUUUCCAAUCCUAAACUAUUUGUCUGUGAAAACAAGUCCAGUCACUUGCAGGCAAACCCAAACCUUCUGUGCAUAUUUCUAUGCAGUUUAUUUUCUUUGCAGUUGCUUGGAAGUGAAUAAUUUUUUCAGAAAACCUUCCUUCCUUCAUUGAACAGAGACCUGAAAGCUAGAUUGCAAGUGAAGUGCUAUUUACACUACUGGGUUGCUUGCAGUGAACAUGGAAGCUCACGGAGAACACUGGCGCGGUGCAAAUGUGAUGGUUUCAAAACCGCUGCUUGUCAAGAAACCUCAUGUAAUGGCGGACAAAAGUACAUUAUGUUAGCAACAACACCUUUAUUUGGAAACAAAGUAGAACUGAUGAGCAUACUUCCUCAGAUUUGCAAAUGUUUAAUUAGCGAGUGAUCGCCUAGCCUCUGCUCUGCUCACCUAAUUUCCGACUCACUUCCAUUGCAGCCAAGGUAUUGAGCAUGGUCCAGAUGAUCUUUUUCAAAGCCUCAAUGGCUGUUGGUCCUUUGUAGGCUGGAGGAUUCAAGCUCCAAAUGCGUCAGCUCAGCUCUAAUGCUGGGCAGUGGUGAAACAAGUGUCUGCAUGGCACUCAGUGCCAGUGAAUGCUACAAGUACUCAUUUCAGAGAGCAGAUAAAGCUUGUGCACCUAUAUUAUGUGUAUCCACUGCAGAUUCAUGUACGUUCAUUGAUACUGUAAAAUCAUGGAACUAAACUUAGAAUGCUUGACUUGCCACACUUAUUUUUACAUAAGCAUAUUUAAAAGUCUUUCUUCCCAGUUGACAGGAAAAAUAAUUCUGUUUGCUAAUUUUGUGAAAAUGUAAUUGUGUAAACCAUUUGAAGUAUAUAGGAUGCCACAAUAUCUGUGUGUGUGUGUGUGUGUGUGUGUGUGUGUGUGUGUGAGGGGGUGUUCUCUUUUAUAGUACCACUAUGGAUUAUCCUAAAAUGAUUUGCUGUAUACAGUGGUACCUCGGGUUAAGAACUUAAUUCGUUCCGGAGGUCCGUUCUUAACCUGAAACUGUUCUUAACCUGAGGUACCACUUUAGAUAAUGGGGCUUCCCGCUGCUGCUGUGCCGCCGCACAAUUUCUGUUCUCAUCCUGAAGCAAGGUUCUUAACCCAAGGUACUAUUUCUGGGUUAGCAGAGUCUGUAACCUGAAGCGUCUGUAACCCGAGGUACCACUGUACAUACAAAACACUUGUGUUUUACAGAGACAAAAUACUUACUAGGCUCCAACAUGCAUUACAUUGGGAUUAUUCAACCCAAUGAAAGUCUGCCAACAUAAAUUUCAAAUCUACAUAGGGCACGUAUAUCCCUAGUUUUGUUUAAUUUAGACAGGUGAUAUUAUUUAUUAACCCUGCUAGGAUUUCUAGAAAUUGCAAAAAUGCAGGGGGACUGCAAAAACCUUCCUGCUUUGCAUGUAACAACAGGAAAAGAAUAGAUGAAGGCUGGAGAUUGGAGCAACCGAUCAAAGCUUUGCCGUUGUAAUUCUUUACAGUAUUUGGUAAAUAGAGGGUAUAAUCUGCUAGUAAGCAAAUUGACUUUUUCUAAGGACAUGUGUGGUUCUUAAGUAUCUCUGGCCAACAGCACUUAAUUCAUACAUAACAUCACAAUGAGUUCUCCUCUCCUUGCCUUUUAUUAUAUUAACAAGCCCAUGCCGUAUAAUUUUGACAUCCUGAAUCCUGCUUUUCUGCACAUGCAACAAAGCAGACGACUGAACGAUGGUCUGCUGAAUGCUGAUGGUGCACACACAGAAUCUCUCUUAGCGUUCUGAGCUGGAGAAGAACAGGAUUUGAUUCAUAAUAAAGCCAAACAUGAUGGACUGGACAAAUUCAUAUACUGAACUAGGGGCUGUUUAUGAUGAACUUCAAUGACAUAACUAGUUUAUAUACAUAGAACUUAUUACUAGUUAGAUUUGUGUGCUCCAAAUAAUCCAAGGAGACUCGGCUGAAUAUCUGAUGUUCAGAUAUUACUGCUUUUUUAUUACUGGAUAUUUGCAAGUAUGAAUGAUUCUUUCAGCUUAAAUAUGAGAUUAAAAGUAGUGUCUGAAAUCAGCCAUCUAUGAGAACAGGAAGGCAUUAGCUAAAUGAAGCAAAUGUUUAAAAUGAAUGUAGUCUCUACUGCAGCAGGACAACAUUAACUUCUUCAAAAAAUGUGCAAUAUUUAUUUUGUGUAUCCUAUCCUUCCACUGUCAAAACAGUGCUUCCCCCAUUAUAAAAAAGCAAAAUAAUAAUAAUAUAAUAAUAAUAAUUUCAAUAAAAUCAGCUUUUUAUUUGUCAUUAAGAUUAGACAACUCCAGUGGCAAGAUCAGCUGCUAAAAUUUCAACUAGGCAAGCAAAAUAUAAGAUGGUCAAUGUUAUACAUCUCAAACAGUCUUGCGUCUGUUUAGUUGGGAUGCAGAAAUUGGCCUUUCUAUGGUCCUUCAGUUAAACUUGGCCCAAGGCAUUUGGGAAUUUAAAGGUAUUUACCAGCACCCAAAAUUAUUCCCAACUGGUAACCAGUGCAUUGUUGCAAAAUGGUGCAACCGAGCACCCACAAACAGCUGAAACAUCUGGAGACUUUUGAGAGACAGGUGGCCUCCUGUAAAGUCUCACAUCUAGAAUGCAAAAAAUAAAAUAAAAAUAAAAAAUCAGUGUAGCCAUCUGAUGUUCAUCUUAUGUCUCUCGCAAUGCAGACAAACCCUUACUGUGGUCUUAAGGAGAUCAGCAUAAAUUUUUUAAAAAUGUUAGCGUAAUAUUUUAGGGCAGCUUUUGGUUAAAGCAUCUCAUUUCCAUGUAGAAUUUAACUAGAGGAGUAUAAACAGCAUUCCCAGGACAGCUUAGUUUGAUGGCAGCUCUUGCUUCCUUAACACCCAAAUUUCUGGAAGCAUUCACAUAGGUCCGGAUGUCCAAGGGCUGAGCAGUUCCUGGGCUGAUCAUGUUGUAUAUGGGAUUCACUUAGGCACCUCAUCUGGCUCUGUUCCAUGCAGGGCAUCCUGCCUAUGGUGUUAAGGAUGCAGCAAAGUCAGAGGUCUCUGGCUGCAGGCAUAAACCAAGCUCUAACACAUAACGGUGGGCUUCUGAGGGCUGAAGUGGAUGUGGCGCUAUGUGUGCACAGUUUUUUAAAAUGCAAAUAGAAGCUGCUGAGGGAGACUGAUUAUUACUGGGAUCUGGAACAGCUUUCUUGGGUGGCCUGGAGCCACUAGUGGACUCUAGUUUCCUGGAAGGUGUGUUGCUGUUACCAGGAGGGGUAGUUGUUGCUGUGCAGAUGCACUGGCAACGUGGCGCCAUCUCCUCAAGUGAGCUCCUUCAGCUGGAAUCACAGCAGGGGAAGUGGAGAUUAACGCUUUCCUUGCCUCCUGUUGUCUAUAGAAAAACCACUUCUUUGAAGUGGCAAUUUGCACUGUAAGGAAACCGCCCCCCAAUUUUUAGUUACGGUAGUUUUUUAAAAAUCUCCCCUCAUUUGAUGCCACUGGGGGAUUCCCACUCCAGAGUAAAUACUAGCUUCAGAAAAUGGGUUUUCUUCCUGUUAGCAAUAGAGAAAGAAAGUGUUGUACUUUCCCCAAUGUCCAGUCAGCUCUGAUUGCAUUAUUCACCAGCCUCCGCCAGAAGCUCUGUCUACAUUUUUCAAAAUACAGUGGUACCUCAGGUUACAUACGCUUCAGGUUACACACUCCGCUAACCCAGAAAUAGUGCUUCAGGUUAAGAACUUUGCUUCAGGAUAAGAACAGAAAUCGGGCUCUGGCGGCACGGCGGCAGCAGGAGGCUCCAUUAGCUAAAGUGGUGCUUCAGGUUAAGAGCAGUUUCAGGUUAAGAACGGACCUCCGGAACGAAUUAAGUACUUAACCCGAGGUACCACUGUAUGUUAAAUGCAGAAAUGCAUUUAAUGCCACAUCUAGUUUGACCCUGACUUUUUCCUCCCCUUUCUCGUAGUACAGGAAAGUAUUAUGAGUACCUGAAACUUGUAUGGCUUUAAAAAGGGAUUAGAAAAAUUCAUGGAGGGCAAGGCUAUCAGUGGGCACUACUCAUGUUCUCUUCAUACUGGUGUGGUGUUGAGAGCCAGUGUGUAAUGGUUAGAGUGCUGGAAUAUGACCUGGGAGAUCAGGUUUCAAAUCCCCACUCAGCCAUGAAGCUCACUGUGUGACCUGCUCAGAAGCAAGUCCUAUUAAAUUCAGUGGAGCUGACUCCUAGGUAAGUGUGGUUAGGGUUGCAGCCUUUAUCUGGAUCCAACCCAUGGUGUGACUGCAGCUGUGCCUUUUGGCUUGUGGUGAGAGGUUGCAGUUGUUUGUUCUAACCUGUUGACAAAAGGGCAGAAUAACUAAAAUAUUCCAUGGCUAACUGAGCAUAACCAGUGCUUUUUCCUGGUGGGACGCAGGGGGACGCACACCCCUAAACAUUUUGUGAAUCUAAGUUUGGCCUCAUUGAGGGGCAGUAUGAGUAGGAAAAUAUGAGUAGGAAAAUGGGAGUACCUCUAAACAUUUUUUUAAGGAAAAAAAGCACUGUACAUAACUAUUGGUUUUGUAGCAUGUUUAUUUAUAACGAGGCUUAUCCUGACAUUGAUUCUUUCUCCUUUAUUUUCAAAAUAGUUUGCCUUAUAUGUAUAACAGUAGCUGGUUGAGUUCUGUAAUAUCCUGCAAGUUAUCAAAAUAGUGCCAAUUGUUCUUGGUAAAGUAAAACUAUGAAGAACACAGACAAUAUUUGAAUGUUGUGGUAGUGGUGAAUGCAGCUAUGAAUAUUUUGUUUAUCACUAGCCUUUUAGACGAACCAGAGCAAUUUACAUUCCACCGGCUAGGGUUGUAGUUUUCAGUCCGGACUCAGGCACAUGAGUUUUCUUAGAAACCUCAUUUUUAAAGCAAUCUUUGUCAUCAGAUCCCAGGAAUAGAUUGAGAGGAAGAGUGCAGUAGCCAAAUUUGCAAGUCUGCUUUGGAACUGGGCAAGACAUUCAGCAGUCAGGGAUCAGCUGCCUUGAACUUGGCAGUCUAGAAAUUUUGCACUGGAUUGCCAAUAAACCAAAAGACUAAAAUCUGUGUUUGGAAGAAAUCAUACAGCUUUGAACGAACAUUUUAUGCAGCAUCCUGCUUUUCUCUCUCUUUUUUUUGAGGGAGGAGCUUAUGUUGUACAAGAUUGGAAAAAGUAGUGUAGCAGAUAAAGCAUUGGUCUUGAUUCCCACCCCCUCUGCACCUUCCUAUACAGUAUCUAAAAUGUUGCCAAGCAGUUUUAGUGUUCUUAUUUGCUUCCUCCCUGCCUGCCUGUUCAUCAGUAGCAUUUUAAAUUCACCUUUCACCAAUAUAACUAUUACUACUGUUAUCGUCAUUAUUUUGCUAUUCUUAUUUAAAGCAGUGACAACAGUCCAGCAAGUUAAGAGCAGGUAAAAUACCGGUAAAACACAAAAUAAACAUUUCUGACAUAAAAGUACAACCAAUUAACAGCAGCAAAAUAGUAUCCCAUAAAUGCUUGGGAAAAUAGAGGUUUUAAGCUGGCGUCGGAAUGUCAGCAAUGUUGUUGCCAGUCAUACUUCUGUGCAGAGGGAAUACUCCAAGUAGGGCACCCUCACCAGGAAGGUUUCUGGUGGUGGGACAAUGAAAAUAUUAUCCCCGAGGUGCUAGAUGCAAGAAUUGAGACAGGCAUCCUGUUUAUUGCACCCCAACUCCUGGGCUAAACCUCUUCACAUCUUUAGGCCAAGGUCUUUAUUCUCUAAAAAAACUUUAGGUCACUGAAGAAAGAGAAUGGGUUGCUCUCCUUGACUUUGCAAUUCUGCAAUGGAUUCGGAUUGUUGCUUUUAACAUAGUGUUUAUUUUGUUGUUUUAUGUAGUCUCCAAGCCAUUUCAGGGCUUAGUACAUGGGGCACAUCUUUCUUUUUAACUGUAUUAAUAAACAGGCUGUGAGGGCUCUUCAUUGAAGUGUAUUCACUAAGGUGAAUUCAAGCAGAGUGAGCCUAUAAUCUGAAUAAACUACAGAAUGAGUCUUUGGAACACUUCUGUGUUUUGUUUCUCUUAAAUCUCUGUCUACAGUGCCCACUACCUUUCCCACAAAUUGCUUUUAAGUUCUUCAUAACAGGAAUUAUAUCACAUUUUGUCCGAGACGUACCUUCUUUGACUUUUUCCUUCUUCCAAUUCAUUCUGAGGAAAGGAGCUGAGUCACUGAGAGGCAAACCUAGCAACUGUUGAAUAAGACACAAGCACAGAUAAUACUAACGUGUAAACAGGAGUAGCGCUUACAGUUUUGCCACUUCACUUUUUUGGAAAAUAAUGAAAUGUGCCUAAACUGAGGUUGUUACAACUUUGAAUAUAAAAUGUGCUUAAGGUCCAACAUUGAGCUACUCACCCCCUACUGUCUGUUGCUUCUGAAAGUAUAUUGAGAUCAUCAUUUUUUUGUGCUCUGUUUUCAUAAACUGUAAACUGUUUUCUGACACGCAGUCAAAUUAUUUGGUAACUUCUUGCUGGCAUUGCUUUUGACACAUUUACAAAUUCAGGGUUACCAGACCUCCAAGUGUCCCUAUUUUCCAGGGGCAAUCCCGGAUUUACAGAAGCUGCCCUGGUUCCUGAUUUGAUUCCAGAAUGUCCCACUUUUCCUUAGGAUGUCUCUAGUUUCAUUGGAUAAAUGUUGGAGUGUAUGGAGUUAUGUGUCCCCUGAGCCAAGGAGAGAAGUAACUAUACAACUUUUAGAAGACAUCUGAAGGCAGUCCUGUGUAGGAAAGGUUUUAAAAAAAUGUUUAAUGUUUUAUUAUGUUUGGAAGUUGCCCAGAGAUGGGUGGGGUAUAAAUAAUAAAAUAAUCGUUGUUGUUGUUGUUGUUGAAUAGGACAUCCCUAUUUUCAUCAGAGAAAUGUUGGAGGGUAUGUAUUACUUUGUAGGCUUGGGAAAUGGGAUUUGAUUUAUGAAAUGGAAUUUGGUCUUCAACCAGUUGGCUUGGACCGCUACCAGGCCGCAACCUGUUGUAAAGUGGCCCACCACAGCAGCACUACCACCAUAAAUGUACAUGGCUAAGGAUGGAUCUGGGUUCUGAAAAGGCUGAAGAUUACAGGUUUCGGUGAACAAAAUAGUUCAGGUAAAAUUUAACUCUAAUGGUACUGAGCUGUGAUUGCAAAUAUUGCAAUCUCAUGAGUAUUUAUUAGAAUGUUAGUCUUAAUUUUUCUUUUAAAAUGCCUGUAAUUAGAUUCUGAGCCUUCCCUUUAACUGUUUUUGUUUGCCUCUGGAUUUUGUAUAAGGUUUUGUCAAACUACAAGGCAUAGUGAGCGUAGUGUAGUGGUUAGAGUAGUGGGAGAUGAGAGUUCAAAUCGCUGGUCAGCCAGGAAGCUUACGGGUUGACCUUGGGUCAAUCGCUAUCGCUCAGCCUAAUUUGCCUCAUAGAAUUGCUGUGGAGAGAAAAAAAAAGGGGGGGGGACAACGUAUGCCACCUGGAGCUCCUUGGAAGAAAGGUGAGGUGUAAAUGUCAGAACAUUUUUUUUUAUGCUCAGAACUAUUUUUUUCUAGACUGCUCUAGAAAAACUAUAUUGAGAAAACUAGGAUAACGAAGAACUCAUAGAAUCAUAGAGUUGUAGAGCUGGAAUGGACCAUGAGGGUCUUCAGUCCAACCCCUUGAAAUGCAGGAAUCUUUUUGGCCAACGUGGGGCUCAGAAUUAAGACCCUCAGAAAUACCCAGAAAAGAAAAGCAUGAUGACUGCUGGCUGGGAUUAGGGACAAGAACAUUAUUGACGUAUUGCUGUACCUUGGCUUUCAGUUUAUUUAUUUUGUCUGCAAAAAUGUCUACACCACCAAUAUUAAGAAAAAAUGUCAUGGUGACAAACAGCAUAAAAUCAACAAUUAAAUUGCAUCCGUAAAACAAAUGAAUACAGGACAAUUCUGUGGAUCAAAUUAAGACAUCAACAUGCCUGGAUCAGCUCUCGGGGCAAGGCGAGAUGAGCAGCUGUGGACCAGGUUCCCUGAAAGGCUGACUUCUCCUCCAAUGCCUGGUAAUGGUGUUAAAAUCAACCAGUGAAAUCUGGUUAGUCUUGUCAGUUGCCACAGCCUAAUGGUUAUGGAGGUGGGAUUUUUCACUGGUUGGCCCUGGUGUUAAAUGCACUCCCUACUGAAAUACAAGAGGUCUCAUCUGUAUUGUCAUUCUGUUGGCUUUGAAGAUGCAUCGGUUUUCACAGGCAUUCCUUUGAUCUCUCUACCUCGGCCCUUCAAAAUUGCUGUGUUUUUUUCAUAGGAUUCUUUUAUUCCGUAUUUUAAUUAUGGGCAUUUUUGUUGAAUGCUUGCCUUUUAUACUUGUAAAACCACAAAGAAGCCUGUUUUGGCAUUUCUAUAAAUUGUUUAUUAUUAGUAAUACUGUAAUGAUAACAGGUGAGUGUCUAAAUGGCAAUACUGUAGGUGCCUGACAGAUGUUCACUAGAUACACGAUCUAAAAGGCACGUGCUGCCACACUAACGGCCCUGGUCUCGGAGGAUUUAAGACAAAUCUCAGGAGCAUACAGCACUACUAGGAGUAUCUCUCUUGAAGUUCAAAGUGACAGGGAUACAUAAGGUAAGGCAUUCCAGCAGUAGAGGAAGUUUUCUGAAAACAUUGUAGUUGUACUUGUGUAUUAAUUGACAAGAGGAGCUGAAUGUGGAACUGUUCUUUCUGAAACUUUGUAAUCAGAUAUUAGUGUCACUUUUCCUAUCUUAAUUGUCAUUCAUCCUAUCUUGAAUUGUGGUCCCAUCAUUUUACAGGUUAAGGGUCCAACCAUAUGUAACACUAAAUCUGUUUUUGCACUUAACAUACAUGUUCAUGUUUCAAUAAAAAAUAAAAAAUAUGCAAAUGGCAGCUGCUGGACAUGCUGGCAAUUUUUGGGAUCCCAGGUACAUAGUACCCAAGACUAGUCAGCUUGGGUCAGCAUCUGAGACAAUAUAUCCAGAAGUUCCUCUAACCCUCACUGAGAGUAAAAAAAACAACACAAUAAUAAUACGUUAAACCAAAGGAUUAGUAGUUUGCUGCUCUUUUGUGACAUCCAAAGGCAGCUACUUCACUUUGCAUAAAGGUAGGACUGGCCAUGUAUAAAGCCAGCUCUGAAGGGGUGUGAGGUGGGGAACAUCUAAGUAGGUGAAAUGUUUAGACUUCAGGAUAUAAACAGAGGGUACAUAUUAGAUUUUCACUUGAAAAGUAAGCAUUCUCCUCCCCUUUGGUAUAUCUGCUUGCUUUUUAUUCUGCUCCUUGUAUGGAAGUUGUAUGGCACCCCACAAUAUGAGUAUCAUGAAGUGCGAGCCUGUUAGGUUAUUUCUUCCCAAGAAGUCAAGCAAUUUAUGUGUGUCACAGCAGGGCUGGCAUGGCAUAAUUUCCAUAAAAUCCAAAACCUCCCUAGAGGAACAUCAUUGCUUAUUCUGAAACAAAACAUAAAACUUUCUGUAAAGUCUUGUCUAAAGUUCAGCAGACAUUCGCCAAAUGUAAGUUCAUACCUAGAACUCCCCCCCCCCAAAAAAAAAACUUUUAUGAAGUGGAUUUUGCCUUAUUUUGGCUGAAUUUCAGGGCACUGCUGUCAAUCCCAAAUUUGGUUAGGAAGACUUCAGUUAAAAACAUUCAUUCUGGACCAAGGGCAAAUAAAGAUGUUGUAAGAUUCAGUGAAAUGGAAUCUUUUACAGGAUAUAAUAAUUCUUGAUUUUAUUUGGGAGAAGGUUUGCACUUAUACUCAAAUUAGAUAUAUUUAAAUAUAAUUCCAUUUGUGCAUAGGGUUCGGAACAUAGGGAACUGGCUGGGGCCACCUAGCUCAGCACUGUCUGCACUGAAUGGCAACAGCUCUUCAGGAUUUUAGGCAGGCAUCACUGACCCUCCACAUGGCCCUCCCCUCCCCAUUUAUUAGUAAGAAGGUUUAAACCUGGCUUGGACUGGACGUGUCCACCCUACUUGCUCAUGAGCCAGUGUGGUGUGAAAACCUCUAUUUGACCAUGAAGUUCCCUGGGUCACCUUAGGCCAGUAGCUGCCUCUCAGCAUAACCUACCUCACAGGGUUGUUGUGGGGAUUAAAUGAGGGAGAGAACCAUGUAUGGUAACUUGAGCUCCUUGAAUAAAAAGGUGGAAUGUAUAUGCAAUAAGAAAAUAAAUGAGUUAAAGAGGGGAAAGUAAAUUUGUCACCUCCUGUGGCAUGACUGGAAGAACUUGUGGCCUCCAACUGUUUGACUCUAGUUCUUUUGAUUGCAAACGUUCAUUUUAGUACAGGCAGGAAUUGGUGGUGGUCAUGUGUCCUAGUUUAUUGGUGACAAUCCUUUGUUUGAAGGGCUGGCCAGGCCCAAGCCUGGUUACAAGAUAAAGGAUCCUAAGGAGGGAAAGCAGGAGGUGCCUUGAAGUUUCCCAUCAGCAGCUGGACAGCAAACUAAGCAGGCUGUCCAGUUUCCCCUUGCUGUGGUAAGUUAUGCAAUGUGCUUAAAUUAUAGCAAUUAUUUCUAAAUUUGCAUCUAUCUCCAUAAAUUAGCAUUUCCAAGUUUUCAGCAAAUCUGUAUUUCCCUUAGUGGAGACUCCUAGUGGAGUUUCAGAUUUUGUCAAUAUGAAGCAGACAAACCAAAUUUACCAAAAAUAAAUGGCUUAACCCUGUCUCACCUCCUGGUCAGGAAAUAGAUAAGUGGAACAUGAAAGUACCAGGCCCAAGUGACCUGAAAUCUUUUUACGGUAGAUCAAAAUGCCUCUAUAGACCAGGUAGGUAGCCGUGUUGGUCUGACGCAGUCGAAAUAAAUUUAAAAAUUAAAAAUUGUCCAGUAGCACCUUAGAGACCAACUAAGUUUGUUCUACGUAUAAGCUUUCAUGUGCAUGCAUACUUCUUCAGAUACAGUGAAACAGAAGUCACCAGACCCUUAUAUAUAGUGGGAGGGUGGGAUGGGGUUUUUCUCUGAAGGGUAGUAGGAGAUGGGUGAUUGACUCAAUGGGUACGGUAAACCUGUUGUCUCAUUGUCUCAUUACAUAUGCUAAAGCUAUUUUUGGUCAUCUGCAGACCAUUCCUUGCUUUUUCCUGUAGGACUAAUUGCAGUCGUCAACAGGUUUACUAUACCAACAUUUGCUCUUGCUUUUCAGCAGUUACGUUCUGUUCAAUCAACUCUUUGAAAUAAAGAGCAGUGUGCUAUACUACACGGUUCUGCAUCCCCAUUCAUUUUGCUUCCAUAGAACAUCACAGCACAUGCUUCUCUUUCUUCAGGGUUUUGGAGCACAUGUGAAAAACCUCCUAUGUCUGAUAAUUUGACCUUCUUGUUUUAACCACCCAAGCAAGAAGGAAAUAUUAAUUAGGGAAUUGUUUUUCUCAACUACGGAACAAGUUGGCUUGCUUAACUAAAUAAUGACUGGAUUCAUAGCAUGUCAUAUGUAGGAGACUGCAGUGCUGGCAACUGUAGCUGCCCACUGAUUCAUUCCCAUCUGUUCUUGCCUUGCAAAACAGUAGGUGAAACAGAGAAGGAAACAGAAUGCAAUACCUCUGCAUAAUAUGGGAUUGGCAGGUUCCUAGUGGUAUAGACGAAUUUAGCUGGGAGUACAGGAAAACAUUGGACGCGGGUGGUGCUGUGGGUUAAACCACAGAGCCUAGGGCUUGCCGAUCAGAAGGUCGGCGGUUCGAAUCCCCGCAACGGGGUGAGCUCCCGUUGCUUGGUCCCUGCUCCUGGCAACCUAGCAGUUCAAAAGCACGUCAAACUGCAAGUAGAUAAAUAGGUACCACUCCGGCGGGAAGGUAAAUGGCGUUUCUGUGCUCUGCUCUGGUUUCACCAGAAGUGGCUUAGUCAUGCUGGCCACAUGACCCAGAAAAACUGUCUGUGGACAAACGUCGGCUCCCUUGGCCAUUAAAGUGAGAUGAACGCCACAACCCCAGAGUCAUUCAUGACUGGACUUAACAGUCAGGGGUCUUUUACCUUUACCUUUUUACAGGAAAAUAUAGGCUUAAACUAGCUUUUAACAGAGUCCAGACUUGAAGUAGCUGUUAGAGACAGUAGUGCUAUAGCAGUAAACUUUGAAGAGUAGCAUGACAGCCCUUAGGAAUAUAUGAAGCUGUCUUAUACAAUGUCAAGACACUCACCCAUCUAGCUAGACUGGCAGUGGCUUCCUGGGGUUUCAGGUAGAAGAAAUGAAAGAGAGAGAAGCUUGAAUACAGCAAGAAGGAGAAAACACUGAAAGGAGAAAAAAGGUGGCUGUUUUAAAUGGUGGAAAAAGUUUGUGUAAAGUUUGUGGAGGUGACAUGGGGGAAGUGGCAGUUUUUAAAAAGUUUGAGUAUGGCAAGAAGGGAGUUUAGAAAAGUAUUGUGUUAGCUUUUUUGGUGCUGGCUUUGUGUUGCAUCCAUUUCUGUUAUUGGUCCUUGGAACUGUGUUAUAAGCAUCCAACACCAGAUGGCGCUGUAGAACUGUCAUCUAUCACCAUUGAGAUUUUCCAUUAAGAGCUUUAUAAUGCAUUUUUCAGUAACUUAUUUUUUUAUGUGUAUAGAUCGAGCCCUUGUUUGUUUUCAUAUAAAAUAACCCAUCAGUAUUCCUCCAUCCCUGCUUUUCUCAAAUGUUCUUUCCUCAAGCAAUGGGCUAAGGAAGGAGAACUGGAAGUGAGAGCAGUGGCCAAGUCCAUCACUUCCUUCAACAAUAUUAAAUUACUAAACAAUAAUUAAAGCUGAUCCAUAGCUGUGCCGCUUUAUUCCCAGGCAAAUAUGUUUUCUCUCUCUGUGUGUGGUGGUGAAUAUUAUUCAGGAGGACCUGGAAUUCUUCAGCAGUUUGGAGGAAAUCCCCCCUCCCCCGCUACUGACAUUUUGGACAUUUUUAUCUGGAAAAUCUUUUCUUAGACCUUUUUGAGGAAGCCAGCCCUAAGGAAAGUGUUGCAUGUGGGAACCCCAUGCAAAAGGUAGAAACCUGUCCCUGGAUGGCUUUGCCUCCACUGUUGGAGAUCCCCUGAAAAAAUGCAGUCCAUCACUGGGCCCUGGAUUAGAACUCCUUCUGCUAUACUUCCCAUGAGAAUGAUGUGGAUUUCUCUGUUUUUUAACACAAAGCUGAAAUAGCAAGUUUAACUGUGCUGUCAGGGCCGGCCCACUCACCCAUGAGGCAAGAUGAGGCGACCGCCUCAGGCAGCAAGGUCCACCAGGGCCGCAGAUCCUGAUAUUUAUCUUUCUUCCACUCCUUGUUCCUGAUGUAGAUCUUCCCUGACCCCUUCUUCGCUGAUGGGGGCGGGGUGUGUGUGCCAUUUUGAAGUCUGCCUCAGGUGCCAAAAUGUAUUGGGUCGGUCCUGUGUGCUGCUAUUCUUAGACAUACAACAGACAAGUUAAUUUGUGGCUAAGACACUCUACCAGCCCUUAUUUCAAGUGACUAAAUCUUCAAAGCCUUGGUUUUAAAUACAUGAGAAGUUUUGGCUAAACUGUGGAGAAUGGAGAUGUGCUUCUAAUAGUCUAUAGCUGCAGCAAACUGAAAAACAAAACAUAUAUUGUUGUGCUAAGCAAUUUUAAAAUGAACAGUGCUGAAAGAGGGAGCAUAUUUUAAAACAAAAUAUCAAAGCAUAAAGAUAUAAGCUGAAAACCAGGUGGUUGUUCUUCUAAAAAAAAAUCUUAAGCAACUUUUGAAUAUGUGUACUAUUGCCCUCUGCUGGACAAAUUGGUACUGUGAGCAAUAUUGUGCUUGAUAAGGUGCUUUUUCUGUUCAGAAAACACUUUUAUGAUUUAUGAAAUAAUAAGGGAUUAAGUCUAAAUGGCAAGGACAGAUGGAGCAAUGGGCUUAGGAUCACUCAAUAAUUGUCCCCAGUUGAUAGGUUUGCGUUUACAAUAAAAUAAAACCUUAUCCAGGAUAAUGCAGCUUCCAUGUAAUUUGUCAAUUAAAACAAACAAAUAAUGUAGCAGGGCGCUGGCAGGAAGGCAUGGUGGGUUUUCAUUUGGUCCAUACAAAUCUUUAGAAGAGGAUCCGCAGGAAACAUUUCUUGUGGUUCAUGUGGAAAGAUACAAAGGGUCAUCAGGACAAAAUGAAACUUAGUGGUGAUGCCCUUUAAACACUCUGAAGCUUUUUCUGUCCAUCCAGGCAUAAAGGCAGCUUGAGGUCCUGAGGAUUUGGCGUUCGGGUGAAUUGAAACCUACUGUGAAAUUGCAGAGAAGCAUGACAGAUGCUGUGGCCAUUUCCAACCACACCUAGAUUGCUUUCCCUAUUGCAUCAGGCAAUGCAAAGCCGGUCUAGAGGCUGUGGCAUGUACUACUAAUGCCAUUUGGUGUGCACUAGAACCUAGAACAGAGAUGGCCAGUGUUUGGGGGCCUGUGAGCAGCUUUGCAAACUGAAUAACUUGUCACAGGUACCACACACACUGCAACUUGCAGCCUUUUCUGUUCAGGAAUGCUACUCUGAAGCCUCAUUUCGGCAGGGCAUGGGACCCUGUGGGUGCCAGAAAGACAUCUGUGGGCACAUGGGUGCUCCUGACUGCUGCACUGAUGAGCCCGGACUAGAGGCUACCUGUUUCAGAUUGCACAGCAUGGAUCAGAUCAUUUUGGCCAUCUCUCUCCCAGGUUCCAUAAAGCAUAGCUUCAACACUGAGGUUGCAGAGGGCAAAGGAGGUAUUGAUACUCACAGGAUCAAUGAGCAGCUCUUCACUGUAUGUUGCAUUAUGCUUGUAUGGCAGUCUGCAUUGUGCAUCAUCACUGGAAUAUGCCAAGGUCCAGAGGCCUCUCUCAUUAUCAGACUCUGGGAUAACAAAUCAGAUGGCCAGCAGGUGUCUGGAAAACGAAUGUGAACUGACAAGGCUCACUUUUCCCUUUUGUCUACUGAGGUUAUACUAUCAAGAGUCCCUUUGCAGCUGCCUCUGGACUCUGGAUGAUCAGAGGUGUAUGGAAGGUGUGUUUGGUCAAACUGUUCAUCCUAUCCAAGCACAUUAUGUGUAUGUAAUGGACCUACUAUGAACACAGAACAAUAUUUCACAGCCUAAAAGGGCCAUAAACAUGACACUAACAAUGCAGCUAUACAUCACUGAUUGGCAGUACCAGGAGGUUUGCUGUCACUGGUGGUGGAGGAGAAAUUCAUGGUUGCAAAGGCAAAGGUGUAAAUAUGAAGAGCUGCUUAUUGAAAGCCGGCAGUAAUCUCCUAAUAUGUUUCAAUAAGUGGAUUAGAAUUUGGAAAUUUUAGAUAAAGCUGUCAGGUUGCAGACUUGCGCUGUAAUAAAUCCUGAGCUCCAUUCCAUCGUCUUAAUAGGGAGAAAAGCUAGCUAGCCUUUCUGUUUCUUAAUAAUACCUCGUGUAGAAGAAUUUCUGAGUUCUUACCAUAUGAAUAUGAAGCGGAUGUGAAACUCAGUUUGUGGGUGCUACUUUUAAAGGCUGUGAUACACAGCAAACAUUGCAAACACUAUGUUUUAAUAAUGCAGGGCAGCUGUUAUAUAAGGCUGACAUCUUAGGCAUGGCUACAGUCCCACUGUAUUUUUCCAAGUAACUAGAAUUUGGCUAUAAGCCUAAGAACCACACAGAACAUUCUUCUGAGACAUACAAGGCCCCCAUUCUACUUUUUUCUAGGCUUCUGAUCAGGUUAUUGCCCCACUCUUCACAAACCUUGCGGAGCAAACUCACUUGAUCCCUUGGACAUUGUCUUGCUUCACACACUGCCACGUCCAACUCUGAGGCACGUCAGCUUUUCCUUCUCUCUGUUCUACUCUGACAUGGGCGAGAGGAGUGAUUACGGAGCAGUUGGUUCAUUUGACUGUAGUUCCUUAGUAGAGCUCAUGCUUUGCAUGUAAAAGAUCCCAAGUUAGGGUGGUCACAUGUCCUACCUUACAAGAUACAGUCCUCAGUUUGAAGGGCUGUCGAGAUCAAGCCCAGUUUUAAAUAAGGGACCAUAAGAAAGGAAAGCAGCACAAGUGCUCCAGAAUAAUGAGUGCUUGGGCAGCAGACUGAGUCGAUGCUCGGGUCAUCUGGCCUUGCCUCCUAUGGUGAGAUGUGUUGCAUUUCUGUGUGUAAAUUAUACCAGCAUGUGCAACUGUUCUGCAAAUAUGUCACCUUUUGUCCUCUUUUUCUGGUGAUGCAUGUGUGGCUGCUCUAUCUUUCUUGUUCAAUCCCUGCCACCUCCAUUUUAAAAUGAGUCCUAUAAUUGAAAGCCCUGUGCAAGAACUUCUGUUUGCACGAAGGUAUUUGCCCCUCUUCCUCUGUGUGCUCCCAAAAUUGACUUUUUUUUGCAGGGUGUGUGUGUGUCUGGAGAAUCAGCAAAUUGGUGUACAGGCAAGAAGAGAGAGUAUCAUUUCAUCUGGCAAGCCAAAAUGCUUGUCCUGACAGAACAAUCACCUUAGAGCAAUGCUGAAUUCUUCUCAGUGAGUGGACAUCCUUAUACAUAUGGACCUAAUACACAGGCUCAAUAAUAAGAAUGUCAAAAGCACACAUCACUUUGUCUCUUUGCUAUAUACAGGCAACAACCUAUUUGUGUGUGAUUGCACACAUGCACAUGGUGCUGAACCCAGAAGUGACCCUAAAAUGUCACUAAAAGGGCAGAAUGGUAGCAGAAUGGAACGCUUUACAAGGUCACUGCUGACAUGCACAGGGUCCAGAAUGUAACCCCCGUGCAAAAUGAGGAUUGCCUGUAAAAACAAUGACUCUUGACAGUGUGGUUGCAGUGGAUUAUAACAAGUAUCUCCUAAAAUGGUUUUUUUUACACUUGCUCCAAACCACGUCUUCAUACUGUGAAACUUCCCUCUGGCCUCUUUAGUUUUAUUAUAAGGCUGAGGAAAUGAACACACUAGUCUUUACUGUAUCCUAACUGGAUAUGCAUGUUCAAGACUUGCACUUUCUUCAUUUUCUUGAACUUCUAAGGAGCACCUUCUGUUCAGCUCAAAACUUAGUUUUAACCAUCUCAUUAUAGGAGGAGAGGAAGAAACACGCACCUUAAUUUUAAAUUGUAGUUAGGAUACCAUCAACCACAUGUCUCUGGUGUAAACAUCUUGCUGCAUAUUCCAAAUUUAUACCAAGAAGAGAAUGCCCAAAAUAAUGCCAUUUUGAAGCAUAAAGCUUGAGGGCGGCAGGACAGCAGAGGGAGAGGACUUAUCCAAACUUCCUUUUGUGCUACAUUUCUAGGCACAGAUCCAUGUUUUAAAACUUCUUGUCCAAGUGAUAUAUAUAUAUGUAUCCCCAGCACUUUCUCCAUGGAAAUCUCCUCUUUACCGCUAAAUGGGAUCAAAUGGUGAUCCACAGAAAACUCGGAAUUGCUGUUUGUUCCAAUUCACCAUUAAAGAGCCACUUUCCCUCUGGAAAGCAAAGUGGCAAAAACAGCACACUCAGACAUACAGGUUUGAAGCACGGAACUGUGCCUAGAAAGCACAGGACAAAAGGUAAGUGUGGAUGAGCCAGAGAGAGAGGAAAUGGUUGGCCUAGUGCAGUACAGCAGGCCAGUGGCCAGGACAGGAAAAAGAUGGGUGGCCAGUUCUCCACAAAACCAUUGGCACAAGCUGGCUAAAGCCCACAUGAAACAGCUGCUUCAUGCGUUGGCUGUGCUAAUCUUGUUUCAUGCAGGUGUUGCCAUUGGCAGAAUUACAUUUUUGUGUUGCCUAUACAAGCAAUCCUCUGUGGUUUAGCAGUGGUGAUCUUAAACAUGCUGCACAUAAGGAGGGAGCUAACAGAUAAAGCUAUUCCAGAAGGCCACCACAUGGCCGGAUGAUUGUGAGAAGUAACCUCCAGAUUCCUAUAGGUUUUCAUUUAGACUCAUGAACAUCCAUGCCUCCAUUAGCACUGCAAGCAAUUGCAAAAGGUCAUGCAGUCUCGCCUGACACUGUUUUGCCUAAGAUAGUGAUGGGGAACCCAUUGUUCUCCAGUCCUAGCCUGCAUAGCCAAAUACUCAGGGCGUAUGGGAAUUGUAGUGCAGCUACAUCUAUAGGGGCACAGGUUCUCCGCCCAUUUCUGCCAUCAUGAAAUACGCAGAAACAAAACUUUGUUGUUCUGCAAAUGUAAGGCUGAAACCGACUGAAAUUCAAUACAGAAAUGAAAAAUCCAGAUCCUGGGUGGUUGUUUCUAAGCACUCAUAAUAUGUCUUGAUUACUAUGUUGUGUGUAUAUAAGACACCAUAGAAUAACAAUUUGAUUUUUAGAAUCAAGUUGUACUGGAAAAGGUUGAUGCCAGUACCUAAUGUUCUGUCUGCAGAACAAAAAUAAUGUAAUGCAUCAGAAUAUGUAAAAACACACGCAGGCUAGUCUGCCCCCACCACUCUCCCUUCUUGAGAAAGUUUUGCUGUAAUGGUAAUUUAUGAUUGCAUGAGAUACUUGGUUUUAAAUGCCACUCUUAAAUGCAAAUAGUGCACUAGAUCACGUAUGGCCAUUGCCAGGAUCUCCAGGUCUCAUGGUUGAAGCGUUUUACCUGGUUCCAGAUUUUUGCCAGGUUUUUUUUUUUUUUUUUUGAGAUCUCACACUUCUGGAUCCAACAGAUUGCAGACCAAGAAUUGGCUGUGGUCUUCUCUGCCACAAUCUGCAAUGAUUAUUUUCUCUUGUGAUUUAAUUAUUUAUUCCCACGUUAAUGUUCCCAUAGCAAUGUUAGCUCUGCCACAAUGCACAUAUGUAGCAUUAUCAAGAACUGCUAAUUUAUGCUUGUCUACAUGCUGGGACUCUGAUAGGCGCUGGUGUGUUUUUUUAAUAAAAAAAGCCCACUCGCUUUUUUAUGUGGGAUACUUUUUGAGCAUCGAAUAUGCUUAUCACCGAGCUAUUUCAAGGCCUGCUCUGAAGGGAAUGGUGAGCAGCAGGAGGCACAAGGUGGGGCAUGAGGAGCAGAAGCUGCUUGUUCUGUCCCCUGGAUUUGAAACAGCAGGCACCCCCAGGCUGCCACUAUUUUCUGGAAGAAUUUGACAGAGGCAGAUUUAAGGCAGCAAGACUGGCUCCCCUGCACAGGGCGCUGAGCCAAGGGGGUGCCUUCCUGCCUCCUUCCCAAAGCCUAGUUAGUGCCUUUGUAGCUUUGGGAAGGAGACAGGAGGGCUCUAGGACCCUGCCAGAGCCCUCACACCACUUUCCCAAAGCCUGGCGCCUCUCUUACCCAGUUUUAGAAGGUGGUGUGAGGGCUGAAGUGUGUAUCAAAUUUUGGCCUCACAUAUGGUGCCAUAUUACCAAGGUCCACCCCUAGAAUGGUCAUGUGCUCAAAAAUUCAGGUUGCACGGUUAUAGCUUAUCGGGUGGUCCUGCAAAACAAACCCCUUUCCUUAAAUGAGCAGACUUUUUGUAUUAAGGAAAGUGAUGGGGAAAUACACAGGAAAGUGUGUGAUACUACUUACUGAGACACAUUAUUUAACCUCCCUGCAAACAAACCAGAAGGAAUGCUCCAUAAAUGGUCAACGUGGUCUAACUUCCUUGCAAACAAAUGGGGAUGAAUGCUCAAGAAACAGGUCAUCUGGAAGUGCCCAGUAUUGCUUCAAAAUACCCAAAGUCCUGCCAGUCCUGAAUCUUUGCAAUCUUGUCUACAGUGGCCCUGUGUUUGCAUGCAAAGGUUUAUUAUUAUUAUAUUUAUGGUCCCCAUUUCCUCCAAGAAGUUCAAAGUGGCACACAUGUUUACCCUGCCUUCCUAUUUUGUCCUUAAAACAUGUCUGGAAUUUCUGCAUAAUGUUCAUUGCUGUAGAAAGACAUGAUUAAGAGGUAGAAAUGGCGCUUCUAUGGCAUGAUGGGAAGAUCGCGUGCUCUUGAGCUCUACAGUAUGCAUUUUGCCUUUAAAGGAUAUCUAUAGUACAAACUCAUUCUUUAACAUACUGCUUUUUCCUACUUCCCUUGACUAUUGGAGAGAUGUGAUGAAAUAGUAAAGGUAAAGGUAUGACUCUGGGGUUGCACGCUCAUCUCGCGCUGUAGACCAAGGGAGCUGGCGUUUGUCCGCAGACAGCUUCCGGGUUCUGGGUCAUGUGGCCAGCAUGACUAAGCCGCUUCUGGUGAACCAGAGCAGUGCCUAGAAAUGCACAGACAUGGGUGGCACUGUGGUCUAAACCACAGAGCCUAGGGCUUGAUGAUCAGAAGGUUGGCAGUUUGAAUCCCCAUGACGGGGUGAGCUCCCGUUGUUUGGUCCCUGCUCCUGCCAACCUGGCAGUUUGAAAGCACGUCAAGUGCAAGUAGAUAAAUAGGUACCGCUCCAGCAGGAAGGUAAACGUGAUGAAAUAGAGAGCCUAAAUAACUUGUCCUCAAAGCUUUACAGAGUUCACCAAUGUUGUCACUAGUAAUUAGGUGAGGACAGCUGUUUCUGGACAGCUACAUUGGAAGGAAACUCAACGUGUUUCUAGUGAUAGUUUAGUUCACUAGUGACGACGUACUAUCACUGUCACCUAGGAAAUGAAACAUGUUGCUAUGGGAACCUCAAGGCUGCAUUAUUACACAUUCUCAAAAUGUUGACACUUAGAAAAAACGACCUGUGUGUGUAAUAUAAACAUUCCCAAUAUUUGUCUUUAUCAGUGUUGCAAAAUAAGAAGAUUUCUUUUAUUUGUUUAUGUUUCGCACAGUAUGGUUGGAGAAGCUGGAAUUUGCAGGUGAAAAUGCCUAAAGGCCUCCCAUAUGUGUCCAAAUGCUUCAAACACUUUGGAAGGUUGUGUUGGUGAAAUGUAUGGCAUUGCAAAUAAGUUUCUUGGGGUGUGUAUCUUCCUGGUUGAUUAUUUGCUUUUCCUUGUUGCUGGAAAGGAUGCAGUGUUAAGGAUCAUAUUUCCUUUCUGGUGGGAAAGCCUGCAAAUGGCCUUUGGGCUUUAGUUCACCAAAUAUUAUUCAAAAAUUACAGGGGAUAAUAUAAUUUAUGCACCUGAGUUGUUUUUUGCUAUUACUGUUUUGCAGGCCAAACAAAGACGUUACAUCGAAGGAUUUACUGGUAUUUCUUUUAAUUGUUGUCCAUCAAGCUGUAGUCCAACAGUUGGGGACUUUGGACAAGUUGUCCUUACAGGCUUAGUCUGAGAACAUCUGUUUUAUUGUGAUCUGAGGAAAAAUAACACACAGGAUACAUUUGAUACAAGACAAGAAAAUAACACAAUCACUUAGUGCCAUAUGGUGGGCCCUCAUCUUGUAUACCUCUAAACCGGAUGUACCUGCCAACAGCAGCUGAAGACAUGUGGACAACAUAACAAUCCUUUGUACAAUCAAGCAGACGUUGUAACAUGAUCCAUACAUAAUCUCUUUGUCUCCUGUCUGAUCUCCUCCCCUAUGUUGGGGGAUGUUCUUUAGUUGUUAUUGCACAGUGUGUGUUUUGUUCUUUUUAGACACAAACUCUUUAAUAAUUCAAAAAACGAUGAAUGAAUAAAUAAUAUGGCAUAGUUUACUGGACCUGAAGCAUUUAUGAAUCUCCACGACGCAUUUGUUAGGGUUGCAUUCAACUUGGCACUAAGUAAUUCCUUGUGAAAAUGGAACAGCCUUCACUUGUGCAACUGGACUUAUGCCACGCCUCCCCUGCAUGCCUCCAAAGUUUGUUGUGGGGUUUCCUCACAACCCUAUGGAGCAGGCAUGGCUUUGGGUUGUUGAGUUGUUGUUUUAGGGGGAAUUUAGGG
RNAcentral lists this long non-coding RNA (24500 nucleotides) under Podarcis lilfordi (Lilford's wall lizard). The record is from RNAcentral. Lineage: Eukaryota; Metazoa; Chordata; Lepidosauria; Squamata; Lacertidae.